CCUACGGGAGGCAGCAGUGGGGAAUUUUGGACAAUGGGCGCAAGCCUGAUCCAGCCAUGCCGCGUGAGUGAAGAAGGCCUUCGGGUUGUAAAGCUCUUUCGGCAGGAACGAAAUGGUUCGUGCUAAUACCACGGACUGAUGACG
Molecule: ribosomal RNA, 144 nt
Filed under: uncultured bacterium
Lineage: Bacteria
Description: partial 16S ribosomal RNA
Rfam family: Bacterial small subunit ribosomal RNA
Source: RNAcentral